Molecule: long non-coding RNA, 2385 nt
Organism: Clupea harengus (Atlantic herring)
Lineage: Eukaryota; Metazoa; Chordata; Actinopteri; Clupeiformes; Clupeidae
Exons: 20
Source: RefSeq, a predicted model, not a curated record
UUUUAAAUAAUUGCCUGCAUCUUUGACUUCCGUCGCAUAUAUUCUGCCUCACACGUCUUACUUUCAAUAGCUGCGCGCGACACGUGUUGGAUCUCUUUGCAGUCGGGGCUCUGAAAGAUCUGCACGUUAGGUCCUCGAUAUUGGAGUUGAAGUCAGUAUGCUCUGGAUCUCCUGUUUAAAACGGCCCCUCCCAACGGGGUCAACAUGGCUGAUGCAUGGUCAGUGUAUCAGUUUUGCGGGAUGUCUUUCACCGCAUACACGAAGUACCACCUGGAAAGACAUGCCAUGUUGAGUCGGCUCCAUGGCAACCAGAUGGAGUCCAAUGGCCAUCAGAUCUUAAUCUGUGUGAGAUUAUGCUUGAAUACUCAUGGAAUCAUCUAGAUGGCCCUGCUUUACAUCUAGCAAGAAUAAUCACUGUACUGAUGGAGUGACCAUUUCCUUUAAGAUGAAGCAUGCCAACGGCACAUUUCUAUUGGCUGCUUUGCGCUGAGGUGAUCGUUCAGUUCUGAGUGCUCAACUGUCAUCUAGAAAUGGAGACGUCACUCCUGAUGUGAUGAAAUGAUCUUUGAGGUUUGGUUCUGAGUGCUCAACUGUUUCAUCUAGAAAUGGAGAUGUCACUCCUGAUGUGAUGGAACAAUCAUUGGGUGCAUCGGUUUUGCGGGUUGUCAUCACCGCAUAAACAAAGUACCACCUGGAAAGACAUGCCAUGUUGAGUCGGCUCCAUGGCAACCAGAUGGAGUCCAAUGGCCAUCAGAUCUUAAUCUGUGAGAUUAUGCUUGAAUACUCCUGGGAUCAUCUGGGUGGCCCUGCUUUACAUCUUGGUAGCACGAAUAAUGGAGAUAUUAUCACUGUACUGAUGGAGUGACCAUUUCCGUUAAGAUGAAGCAUGGCAACGGCACAUUUCUAUUGGCUGCUGUGCGCUGAGGUGAUCGUUCAGGGUCAGUUCUGAGUGCUCAACUGUCAUCUAGAAAUGGAGACGUCACUCCUGAUGUGAUGGAACGAUCAUUAGGAUUAUGCUUGAAUACUCAUGGAAUCAUCUAUAUGGCCCUGCUUUACAUCUUGGUAGCAAGAAAAAUUAAUGUACUGAUGGAGUGACCAUUUCCGUUAAGAUGAAGCAUGCCAACGGCACAUUUCUAUUGGCUGCUUUGUGCUGAGUUCUGAGUGCUCAACUGUUUCAUCGAGAAAUGGAGAUGUCACUCCUGAUGUGAUGGAACGAUUAUUGGGAUUAUGCUUGAAUACUCAUGGAAUCAUCUAUAUGGCCCUGCUUUACAUCUUGGUAGCAAGAAAAAUUAAUGUACUGAUGGAGUGACCAUUUCCGUUAAGAUGAAGCAUGCCAACGGCACAUUUCUAUUGGCUGCUUUGCGCUGAGUUCUGAGUGCUCAACUGUUUCAUCUAGAAAUGGAGACGUCACUCCUGAUGUGAUGGAAUGAUUAUUGGGGUGAUCGUUCAGGGUCAGUUCUGAGUGCUCAACUGUCAUCUAGAAAUGGAGACGUCACUCCUGAUGUGAUGGAACGAUCAUUAGGAUUAUGCUUGAAUCUGGAUGGCCCUGCUUUACAUCUUGGUAGCAAGGAUAAUCACUGUACUGAUGGAGUGACCAUUUCCGUUAAGAUGAAGCAUGGCAACGGCACAUUUCUAUUGGCUGCUUUGCGCUGAGAUUAUGCUUGAAUACUCCUGGAGUCGUCUGGAUGGCCCUGCUUUACAUCUUGGUAGCAAGAAUAAUGGAGAUAUUAUCACUGUACUGAUGGAGUGACCAUUUCCUUUCAGAUGAAGCAUGGCAACGGCACAUUUCUAUUGGCUGCUUUGUGCUGAGGUGAUCGUUCAGUUCUGAGUGCUCAACUGUCAUCUAGAAAUGGAGACGUCACUCCUGAUGUGAUGAAAUGAUCUUUGAGGUGACUGAUCAGUUCUGGUUUUACAAUUCAGAGAAGUGACAUUUAACAGAAUGAACUCAACAUUAUGCUUGAAUACUCCUGGAAUCUGGAUGGCCCUGCUUUACAUCUUGGUAGCAAGAAUAAUCACUGUACUGAUGAAGUGACCAUUUCCGUUAAGAUGAAGCAUGGCAACGGCACAUUUCUAUUGGCUGCUUUGCGCAGAGGUGAUUGUUCAGGUUCGGUUCUGAGAGCUCAACUGUCAUCUAGAAAUGGAGACGUCACUCCUGAUGUGAUGACAUGAUCUUUGAGGUGAGUUCAGUUAUUCCAGUGAUGACCGCUUUAAGUGCAGCUUCGCUGUGAUGAAGAUGAUUUCCUGCCAUUCGUAGUUUCCACCAGAGGUUGAAAGACCAAAGAUGGCCCAAAUACCUUCCUUGGAUGUCUGAGCGAAGUUUAAAUAUGUAAAUUUGAGUUUGUUUUGUAAAUUUUAAUUGAGUUAACUUUUGGUUUUGUGAUUUCA